CAGCCGCCACGGUAAUACAGAGGGUGCGAGCGUUAAUCGGAUUUACUGGGCGUAAAGCGUGCGUAGGCGGCUUCUUAAGUCGGAUGUGAAAUCCCUGAGCUUAACUUAGGAAUUGCAUUCGAUACUGGGAAGCUAGAGUAUGGGAGAGGAUGGUAGAAUUCCAGGUGUAGCGGUGAAAUGCGUAGAGAUCUGGAGGAAUACCGAUGGCGAAGGCAGCCAUCUGGCCUAAUACUUACGCUGAGGUACGAAAGCAUGGGGAGCAAACAGGAUUAGAUACCCGUGUAGUCCCUGUCUCUUAUAC
This 301-nucleotide ribosomal RNA is filed under the name uncultured bacterium. RNAcentral describes it as "partial 16S ribosomal RNA". It matches the Rfam family "Bacterial small subunit ribosomal RNA", at positions 509 to 807 of the family's 1533-position model. The record is from RNAcentral.